Molecule: long non-coding RNA, 450 nt
Organism: Etheostoma spectabile (orangethroat darter)
Lineage: Eukaryota; Metazoa; Chordata; Actinopteri; Perciformes; Percidae
Exons: 2
Source: RefSeq, a predicted model, not a curated record
AAAUUCCUUCAAUCCCCUCCAUCUCUCCCUAAAACUAUUCAGCUAUUAAAAGGCGUUCCCUUUUCAGUAAACCAACCAGAAUUGGCCAUGAAAUUCAUGAUCCAAUCACAGCAUGACAUCCUGCUUUAAAUGUCUUCUCUCCUUGCUAUCAAUUGUCUUUUCAGGCAAACGUGCAACCCUCCUCCUCCCCUUCCACCUCCGGGCAUCGUCAACCACUGCAACCUGAGUUCCUUUCCGGCAGUCAGGUCCUUCGUUUGGUCUCUGGGUUCCGUCUUCAUCAUCACCAGUGUCUAGGCUUCAUCGGGGGGAAUACAUCUGGCUUCUCUACCACUUUAAAAUAUUUUUUAAUGAUGGAGUCUAAUCCCCAAAGACUCUGUACAUUUCUUAUUAUGCACAUGUACAAUAAAUCUUUGAAUAUCUGCAACAAAGUCUCUCCUGAUUGAAAUACCA